Molecule: ribosomal RNA, 433 nt
Filed under: uncultured bacterium
Lineage: Bacteria
Description: partial 16S ribosomal RNA
Rfam family: Bacterial small subunit ribosomal RNA
Source: RNAcentral
AACGAACGCUGGCGGCAUGCCUAACACAUGCAAGUCGAACGAGACCUUCGGGUCUAGUGGCGCACGGGUGCGUAACGCGUGGGAACCUGCCCUUAGGUUCGGAAUAACUCCCCGAAAGGGGUGCUAAUACCGGAUAAUGUCUUCGGACCAAAGAUUUAUCGCCUUUGGAUGGGCCCGCGUUGGAUUCGCUAGUUGGUAGGGUAAAAGCCUACCAAGGCGACGAUCCAUAGCUGGUCUGAGAGGAUGAUCAGCCACACUGGGACUGAGACACGGCCCAGACUCCUACGGGAGGCAGCAGUGGGGAAUAUUGGACAAUGGGCGAAAGCCUGAUCCAGCAAGGCCGCGUGAGUGAUGAAGGCCUUAGGGUUGUAAAGCUCUUUUACCCGGGAUGAUAAUGACGGUACCGGGAGAAUAAGCGCCGGCUAACUCCGUG